CCUACGGGUGGCAGCAGUGAGGAAUAUUGGUCAAUGGGCGCGAGCCUGAACCAGCCAAGCAGCGUGAAGGAUGACUGCCCUACGGGUUGUAAACUUCUUUUAUAAAGGAAUAAAGUGAGGCACGUGUGCCUUUUUGUAUGUACUUUAUGAAUAAGGAUAGGCUAACUCCGUGCCAGCAGCCGCGGUAAUACGGAGGAUCCGAGCGUUAUCCGGAUUUAUUGGGUUUAAAGGGAGCGUAGAUGGGUUGUUAAGUCAGGUGUGAAAGUUUGGGGCUCAACCGUAAAAUUGCAAUUGAUACUGGCAGCCUUGAGUACAGUUGAGGUAGGCGGAAUUCGUGGUGUAGCGGUGAAAUGCUUAGAUAUGACGAAGAACACCGAUGGCGAAGGCAGCCUACUAAACUGCCACUGACGUUGAGGCUCGAAAGUGUGGGUAUCAAACAGGAUUAGAUACCCCAGUAGUC
RNAcentral lists this ribosomal RNA (460 nucleotides) under uncultured bacterium. Its description in RNAcentral is "partial 16S ribosomal RNA". It matches the Rfam family "Bacterial small subunit ribosomal RNA", at positions 338 to 795 of the family's 1533-position model. The record is from RNAcentral.